AGAACGAACGCUGGCGGCAUGCCUAACACAUGCAAGUCGAACGAGACCUUCGGGUCUAGUGGCGCACGGGUGCGUAACGCGUGGGAAUCUGCCCUUAGGUACGGAAUAACUCAGGGAAACUUGUGCUAAUACCGUAUGAUGUCGAGAGACCAAAGAUUUAUCGCCUAGGGAUGAGCCCGCGUAGGAUUAGCUAGUUGGUGGGGUAAAGGCCUACCAAGGCUACGAUCCUUAGCU
Molecule: ribosomal RNA, 234 nt
Filed under: uncultured bacterium
Lineage: Bacteria
Description: partial small subunit ribosomal RNA
Rfam family: Bacterial small subunit ribosomal RNA
Source: RNAcentral